GACGAACGCUGGCGGCGUGCCUAAUACAUGCAAGUUGAGCGCUGAAGGUUGGUACUUGUACCAACUGGAUGAGCAGCGAACGGGUGAGUAACGCGUGGGGAAUCUGCCUUUGAGCGGGGGACAACAUUUGGAAACGAAUGCUAAUACCACAUAAAAACUUUAAACACAAGUUUUAAGUUUGAAAGAUGCAAUUGCAUCACUCAAAGAUGAUCCCGCGUUGUAUUAGCUAGUUGGUGAGGUAAAGGCUCACCAAGGCGAUGAUACAUAGCCGACCUGAGAGGGUGAUCGGCCACAUUGGGACUGAGACACGGCCCAAACUCCUACGGGAGGCAGCAGUAGGGAAUCUUCGGCAAUGGACGAAAGUCUGACCGAGCAACGCCGCGUGAGUGAAGAAGGUUGUCGGAUCGUAAAACUCUGUUGGUAGAGAAGAACGUUGGUGAGAGUGGAAAGCUCAUCAAGUGACGGUAACUACCCAGAAAGGGACGGCUAACUACGUG
Molecule: ribosomal RNA, 497 nt
Filed under: uncultured bacterium
Lineage: Bacteria
Description: partial 16S ribosomal RNA
Rfam family: Bacterial small subunit ribosomal RNA
Source: RNAcentral